This is a long non-coding RNA of Xenia sp. Carnegie-2017, 638 nucleotides long. RefSeq lists it as uncharacterized. NCBI's taxonomy places the organism in Eukaryota, Metazoa, Cnidaria, Anthozoa, Malacalcyonacea, Xeniidae. The record is from RefSeq and is a predicted model, not a curated record. The transcript is spliced from 4 exons.
AUGAAGAGCAUCAAAUCAAGCAUCACGCACGUCACUGGUUAAUGUUCACGUAAUUGAUGACGUAUUAUGACAUCAUUAUUAGAACAGUAAUUCGUGACGUCAUAAUUAAGACAAGAAAAUUCUUUACUCAGUUGUUUUUGAGACAUAUAUCGGUCAUACAAAAACUAACAUUUUGCUAUAAAACUACUAGUUAGCCAAAACGUUUCAUCAUUGAAAAAUCAGGAGCUACAAUGGAGAAAAUGGAAGUCGAUGAUUCCCGAACAAAUUUUCUAGAAGAUAGUUCCAACGAACAGGGUGUAAAACGAUCAUUAAUUGAAGUCAAUGAGGACGAAUUUAAACGAGAUAGGUUGAGACGAAGUACUGGAUGUCAUAAAUUAACAAUUCAUUGUAUACGAGCAGACACAUACGCGUACAAUGUAAAAAAACCGGAAAGCUCCAGUAAACCGCGUUUGGUGAACAAACGAAGACGUUUAAUGAACGAAGAAGUGGCUGAACGAGUCAUUCAUACCAUCACAUUAUGAGUUACAAUAAAUUAUUCCGUUUCUUGAUUGUAUAAAAACAUAUUCCCAAUGUUCUAUUGAAUGCUUUCUUGAAAAUACGUAUGAAAUAAAUCAAUAAAUAAACUUUAUGAAUCUGAA